This 491-nucleotide ribosomal RNA is filed under the name uncultured bacterium. RNAcentral describes it as "bacterial SSU rRNA". It matches the Rfam family "Bacterial small subunit ribosomal RNA", at positions 27 to 507 of the family's 1533-position model. The record is from RNAcentral.
GGACGAACGCUGGCGGCGUGCCUAACACAUGCAAGUCGAGCGAGAAGUCAGUAACGGAUUUCUUCGGAAUGAAGUAACUGAGGUUAGUGGCAAACGGGUGAGUAACGCGUAGGCAACCUGCCCUUCAGAUGGGGACAACACCUCGAAAGGGGUGCUAAUACCGAAUGACGUUUCCUGGUCGCAUGACCUGGAAACCAAAGGCCGGGCAACCGGUCACUGAAGGAUGGGCCUGCGUCUGAUUAGCUAGUUGGUGGGGUAACGGCCCACCAAGGCGACGAUCAGUAGCCGGUCUGAGAGGAUGAACGGCCACAUUGGGACUGAGAUACGGCCCAGACUCCUACGGGAGGCAGCAGUGGGGAAUAUUGGGCAAUGGGGGAAACCCUGACCCAGCAACGCCGCGUGAAGGAAGAAGGCCUUCGGGUUGUAAACUUCUUUUACCAGGGACGAAGAACGUGACGGUACCUGGAGAAAAAGCAACGGCUAACUACGUG